GCCGGUAGGUCAGCACGUGACAUCAUUACAGUAUUUAGAGAUAGAGAGAAGCAGGGCGGCUACGGAUGUCCGGCUGAUUAUAAUUAUUCAUUAUUUUUGGAUUUGGGAAGUUAUUGUUUCUUCCGGCAACACAAGUAACAGAGGGAAGUAAAUUACUUUCAUCCAGACCUUACAACGUUGACUUGUUUGGUUGAACAAUGAUGAUACCCAUCAUCAGUCGAAGACGAAGUGCAACAGUCACACGAGUAUCCAGGCAACAUCUUUGGCAAUUCCUUUUGUUUUCCUUUAUUCUGCUGUUCUGUCACUCCACACAGUGUCUGGUGCGUAGUGGACGUUCAUCUUCUUCGCCGAACAAACUUACUCGGUGCCAUGGCCGUUGACAUUCAGUUUGUGACCACCUUCAUUGCUGCCGACUUUUGCUGGAACUAAAUCCUCCUCGUGACUGUAACCCGGGCCGUUACCUGCCACCCAAGGGGCACUUGGCUGACACCCGGGUACAAUAAAGGAAAAUGAGUCUACGACACAACAUUUUCUGGCGCUUUCUGGGAUACAGGAUCGUGUUAUCUUUCGCUUUCCUUAUAGUCGUUACGAUGACCUGGAAAUUUUCGUGGAAGGUGGAGAAAGUCGUCCUGCCGAAAGACUUUGGGGUCAAGCAACAGGGCCAGCAGGACUACAAUGUUUCCCGGUCUUCGACUGUGGCAUCGCCUCAUUCUUCACGUCUGCUUUGCCACAGGUUGGAGGGCCGAAUGGGAAACGAAAUGUUUCAGGUGGCCAGCAUCCUGGGUCUAGCGUGGGCGAUGAACAGGACUCCGGUAUUCGUUGGAGAGCUCCGGAUGAGCAGGUUUCUAGAGCGCUCGUUCAAGUUGCCCAAUCAGGCCGAGUUGGAGGACAGGUGUCACCGUGCGCAUACCCUUAACGAACGCAACUGCUACACCUUCGAACCCGCCUUUGCCAGCUCGAUCCCACUCAGGACUUCAAUCUCAGAAUCUACCUUCAGUCGUGGAAAUAUUUCGACAAGUUCGAGCGCAGGUCAAACAAGCGUUGGUCCUUCAACCAGAACGUGGUGAAGAAAGCGGCGAACCAUCGUCGAGAAGAUCAGGGACAGGCACAAGAAGGCCAUACUCAUCGGCGUUCACAUCAGGAGAGGCGACUUUGAGGCGGAAGGACAAAAGAGACGCGGGUAUCCGAUGGCAUCGCCGGGGUUUCUGAAAGCCUCCUUUACAUAUUUUCAAAGACUUUUUGCUAACUGCACUUUUGUGAUUGCGAGCGAGAAUACAAGAUGGUGCCGAGAAAACACACCGCCGGGUGCUCAAGUGGAGUAUCUGGAUGUACACUCGCCGGCAGUGGACAUGUCUGUGCUGGUCUCCAUGGACCACGUGAUAACAACGUUUGGCAGCUAUUCGUGGUGGAUAGGUUACCUGAACGAAGGGAUUACCGUGUACAUGAAGGACUUCAUCGUGCCAGGCACGCACAUCGGAAACAUGUUCACAAACCCUGACGAUUACAUCUACCCUGGAUGGGUCCCUGUGUAACUGUGUUUAGUCUUCGUGAGUCAAGACUUACCCCGAUUGAAAUUUUAUUUCCCUCUUUCUCUCUCCAAAAACCUGUGAAAACACGCAUGUUGAUGUAGUCGUCCAUGCCAUACAAUAGAAUGUCCUCACAAUUUCUUAACCUACAUAAUUAUUUUUACCUCAUGGACAUAGAGUUUCCAAUUUUAAUGUUUGUGGAAAUGACCAAGCACACUUAUCAGUAAAUUCAAUGUCGGUUACAGUUGUUAACGCCGAGGAAAUAAAAAGCAAGCAAUAAGUACAUAUCAAAAUAUGAAGAGAAACAAAUAAGUAAAUGUAAGAAGGGAUCAGUUAAUAAUAAACAGUUACUGGAGGUUAAGAACGAGGUAAUAAUUUAUGUUGUUCAAUGUGUCUGUACGUACCUCACUGUCCACUGGCUGUAAUCUUUCAUUUAUCAUUAUUAGUCUGCACAGCUACAACCUUUAACUCUUUUCUUCGAUGAUACAAAGUUCGCUUAAUGCAACAGUUUAAAUUUUGUGACGUACAUGGGAAACGGAUGUAUAUUUCCAAUUGAAGAAAUAAGCAUUUAUAUCUCAUUUGGAUUGAUAAUCUCUUUAAUUAUUAUAAACUACUUAAGAGACAA
This is a long non-coding RNA of Pomacea canaliculata, 2151 nucleotides long. RefSeq lists it as uncharacterized. The record is from RefSeq and is a predicted model, not a curated record. NCBI's taxonomy places the organism in Eukaryota, Metazoa, Mollusca, Gastropoda, Architaenioglossa, Ampullariidae. The transcript is spliced from 3 exons.